UAGCAUAUCAAUAAGCGGAGGAAAAGAAACCAACAGGGAUUGCCUUUAGUAGCGGCGAAGUGAAGCGGCAAAAGCUCAAAUUUGAAAUCUGGCACUUUCAGUGUCCGAGUUGUAAUUUGAAGAAGGUAUCUUUGGGUCUGGCUCUUGUCUAUGUUUCUUGGAACAGAACGUCACAGAGGGUGAGAAUCCCGUGCGAUGAGAUGUCCCAGACCUAUGUAAAGUUCCUUCGAAGAGUCGAGUUGUUUGGGAAUGCAGCUCUAAGUGGGUGGUAAAUUCCAUCUAAAGCUAAAUAUUGGCGAGAGACCGAUAGCGAACAAGUACAGUGAUGGAAAGAUGAAAAGAACUUUGAAAAGAGAGUGAAAAAGUACGUGAAAUUGUUGAAAGGGAAGGGCUUGAGAUCAGACUUGGUAUUUUGUAUGUUACUCUCUCGGGGGUGGCCUCUACAGUUUACCGGGCCAGCAUCAGUUUGAGCGGUAGGAUAAGUGCAAAGAAAUGUGGCACUGCUUCGGUAGUGUGUUAUAGUCUUUGUCGAUACUGCCAGCUUAGACUGAGGACUGCGGCUUCGGCCUAGGAUGUUGGCAUAAUGAUCUUAAGUCGCCCGUCUUGAAACACGGACCAAGGAGUCUAACGUCUAUGCGAGUGUUUGGGUGUAAAACCCGUACGCGUAAUGAAAGUGAACGUAGGUAGGACCUCCUUUAGGAGUGCACUAUCGACCGAUCCUGAUGUCUUCGGAUGGAUUUGAGUAAGAGCAUAGCUGUUGGGACCCGAAAGAUGGUGAACUAUGCCUGAAUAGGGUGAAGCCAGAGGAAACUCUGGUGGAGGCUCGUAGCGGUUCUGACGUGCAAAUCGAUCGUCGAAUUUGGGUAUAGGGGGCGAAAGACUAAUCGAACCAUCUAGUAGCUGGUUCCUGCCAA
RNAcentral lists this ribosomal RNA (914 nucleotides) under Lodderomyces parapsilosis. RNAcentral describes it as "LSU rRNA". It matches the Rfam family "Eukaryotic large subunit ribosomal RNA", at positions 36 to 964 of the family's 3401-position model. Lineage: Eukaryota; Fungi; Ascomycota; Pichiomycetes; Serinales; Debaryomycetaceae. The record is from RNAcentral.